CCCUUAGAUGUUCUGGGCCGCACGCGCGCUACACUGAUGCAUUCAACGAGUCUAAAACCUGCUCUGAUAGGGGUGGGUAAUCUUUUGAAUGUGCAUCGUGAUUGGGAUAGAUGAUUGCAAUUUUUCAUCUUCAACGAGGAAUGCCUAGUAAACGCAAGUCAUCAGCUUGCAUUGAUUACGUCCCUGCCCUUUGUACACACCGCCCGUCGCUCCUACCGAUUGAAUGAUCCGAUGAAUAUCAUGGAUUGAGGAUGCAAGCAGGUUCGCCUGUCUUCAUCUUCGAGAAGUGAAGUAAAUCUUAUCAUUUAGAGGAAAGAGAAGUCGUAACA
RNAcentral lists this ribosomal RNA (329 nucleotides) under uncultured eukaryote. RNAcentral describes it as "partial 18S ribosomal RNA". It matches the Rfam family "Eukaryotic small subunit ribosomal RNA", at positions 1470 to 1796 of the family's 1831-position model. The record is from RNAcentral.